RNAcentral lists this ribosomal RNA (425 nucleotides) under uncultured bacterium. RNAcentral's name for it is "bacterial SSU rRNA". It matches the Rfam family "Bacterial small subunit ribosomal RNA", at positions 355 to 771 of the family's 1533-position model. The record is from RNAcentral.
UGGGGAAUUUUUCGCAAUGGGCGCAAGCCUGACGAAGCAACGCCGCGUGAGGGAUGAAGGCCUUCGGGUCGUAAACCUCUGUCGGAAGGGAAGAAAGGUGUCCGGUCGAACAGGCCGGGGGCUUGACGGUACCUUCAAAGGAAGCGCCGGCUAACUCCGUGCCAGCAGCCGCGGUAAUACAGAGGGUGCGAGCGUUAAUCGGAAUUACUGGGCGUAAAGCGCACGUAGGCGGCUCUGCAAGUCGGGUGUGAAAUCCCCGGGCUCAACCUGGGAACUGCAUUCGAUACUGCAUUGCUAGAGUAUGGGAGAGGGAAGUGGAAUUUCCGGUGUAGCGGUGAAAUGCGUAGAUAUCGGAAGGAACACCAGUGGCGAAAGCGACUUCCUGGACCAAUACUGACGCUCAGGUGCGAAAGCGUGGGGAGCAA